AAUACGUUCCCGGGCCUUGUACACACCGCCCGUCACGUCACGAAAGUCGGCAACACCCGAAGCCCAUGGCCUAACCCGGUUUUCCGGGGGGGAGUGGUCGAAGGUGGGGUCGGCGAUUGGGACG
This 124-nucleotide ribosomal RNA is filed under the name uncultured bacterium. RNAcentral's name for it is "partial 16S ribosomal RNA". It matches the Rfam family "Bacterial small subunit ribosomal RNA", at positions 1365 to 1482 of the family's 1533-position model. The record is from RNAcentral.